GCUAAACGCGAAGAACCUUACCAACCCUUGACAUUACAGGACAUCCCCAGAGAUGGGGCUUUCACUUCGGUGACCUGUGGACAGGUGCUGCAUGGCUGUCGUCAGCUCGUGUCGUGAGAUGUUCGGUUAAGUCCGGCAACGAGCGCAACCCACACUUCCAGUUGCCAGCAUUCAGUUGGGCACUCUGGAAGAACUGCCGAUGAUAAGUCGGAGGAAGGUGUGGAUGACGUCAAGUCCUCAUGGCCCUUACGGGUUGGGCUACACACGUGCUACAAUGGUGGUGACAGUGGGUUAAUACCCCAAAAGCCAUCUCAGUUCGGAUUGGGGUCUGCAACUCGACCCCAUGAAGUUGGAAUCGCUAGUAAUCGCGGAACAGCAUGCCGCGGUGAAUACGUUCCCGGGUCUUGUACACACCG
RNAcentral lists this ribosomal RNA (416 nucleotides) under uncultured bacterium. RNAcentral describes it as "bacterial SSU rRNA". It matches the Rfam family "Bacterial small subunit ribosomal RNA", at positions 954 to 1392 of the family's 1533-position model. The record is from RNAcentral.